Molecule: ribosomal RNA, 253 nt
Filed under: uncultured bacterium
Lineage: Bacteria
Description: partial 16S ribosomal RNA
Rfam family: Bacterial small subunit ribosomal RNA
Source: RNAcentral
UACGUAGGUGGCGAGCGUUGUCCGGAUUUACUGGGCGUAAAGGGGGCGUAGGCGGACUUUUAAGUGAGAUGUGAAAUACUCGGGCUCAACUUGAGUGCUGCAUUUCAAACUGGAAGUCUAGAGUGCAGGAGAGGAGAAUGGAAUUCCUAGUGUAGCGGUGAAAUGCGUAGAGAUUAGGAAGAACACCAGUGGCGAAGGCGAUUCUCUGGACUGUAACUGACGCUGAGGCUCGAAAGCGUGGGGAGCAAAUAGG